GAUGAAGAACGCAGCGAAAUGCGAUAAGUAAUGUGAAUUGCAGAAUUCAGUGAAUCAUCGAAUCUUUGAACGCACAUUGCGCCCUCUGGUAUUCCGGGGGGCAUGCCUGUUCGAGCGUCAUUUCAACCCUCAAGCUCAGCUUGGUGUUGGGACUCGCGGUAACCCGCGUUCCCCAAAUCGAUUGGCGGUCACGUCGAGCUUCCAUAGCGUAGUAAUCAUACACCUCGUUACUGGUAAUCGUCGCGGCCACGCCGUAAAACCCCAACUUCUGAAUGUUGACCUCGGAUCAGGUAGGAAUACCCGCUGAACUUAAGCAUAUCAAUAAGCGGAGGA
Molecule: unclassified non-coding RNA, 333 nt
Filed under: soil metagenome
Description: partial contains 5.8S ribosomal RNA, internal transcribed spacer 2, and large subunit ribosomal RNA
Rfam family: 5.8S ribosomal RNA (bases 1-120)
Source: RNAcentral